Molecule: ribosomal RNA, 445 nt
Filed under: uncultured bacterium
Lineage: Bacteria
Description: bacterial SSU rRNA
Rfam family: Bacterial small subunit ribosomal RNA
Source: RNAcentral
GUAGGGAAUAUUGGGCAAUGGACGCAAGUCUGAUCCAGCCAUGCCGCGUGAAGGAUUAAGGUCCUCUGGAUUGUAAACUUCUUUUAUAAGGGACGAAAAAAGGCUUUUCUAAGUCGUCUGACGGUACCUUAUGAAUAAGCACCGGCUAACUCCGUGCCAGCAGCCGCGGUAAUACGGAGGGUGCAAGCGUUAUCCGGAUUCACUGGGUUUAAAGGGUGCGUAGGCGGGCAGGUAAGUCAGUGGUGAAAUCCUAGAGCUUAACUCUAGAACUGCCAUUGAUACUAUCUGUCUUGAAUAUUGUGGAGGUAAGCGGAAUAUGUCAUGUAGCGGUGAAAUGCUUAGAUAUGACAUAGAACACCUAUUGCGAAGGCAGCUUACUACGCAUAUAUUGACGCUGAGGCACGAAAGCGUGGGGAUCAAACAGGAUUAGAAACCCCGGUAGUCC